GAAAAUAUUAUAAUUAUUAUAUAAAUAUUGGGUAUUUAAGAUGUUUUCUUUUCUGAAUGUAUAAGGUGCACAAAUAU
This 77-nucleotide transfer RNA is filed under the name Chiropterargas confusus. Its description in RNAcentral is "Argas confusus tRNA-Pro". Lineage: Eukaryota; Metazoa; Arthropoda; Arachnida; Ixodida; Argasidae. The record is from RNAcentral.